RNAcentral lists this ribosomal RNA (492 nucleotides) under uncultured bacterium. RNAcentral's name for it is "partial 16S ribosomal RNA". It matches the Rfam family "Bacterial small subunit ribosomal RNA", at positions 29 to 507 of the family's 1533-position model. The record is from RNAcentral.
AGUGAACGCUGGCGGUAGGCCUAACACAUGCAAGUCGAACGGCAGCACAGUAAGAGCUUGCUCUUACGGGUGGCGGGUGGCGGACGGGUGAGGAAUACAUCGGAAUCUACUUUUUCGUGGGGGAUAACGUAGGGAAACUUACGCUAAUACCGCAUACGACCUACGGGUGAAAGCAGGGGAUCUUCGGACCUUGCGCGAUUGAAUGAGCCGAGGUCGGAUUAGCUAGUUGGCGGGGUAAAGGCCCACCAAGGCGACGAUCCGUAGCUGGUCUGAGAGGAUGAUCAGCGACACUGGAACUGAGACACGGUACAGACUCCUACGGGAGGCAGCAGUGGGGAAUAUUGGACAAUGGGCGCAAGCCUGAUCCAGCCAUACCGCGUGGGUGAAGAAGGCCUUCGGGUUGUAAAGCCCUUUUGUUGGGAAAGAAAAGCAGCAGGUUAAUACCCCGCUGUUCUGACGGUACCCAAAGAAUAAGCACCGGCUAACUUCGUG